CCCUUAGAUGUUCUGGGCCGCACGCGUGCUACACUGAGCGGGCCAACGGGUGAGGAUGUGCGAAAGCGCUUCCCAAUCUCUAAAUCCGCUCGUGCUGGGGAUCGAGGCUUGCAAUUAUCCCUCUUGAACGAGGAAUACCUUGUAAGCACGGGUCAUCAUCCCGUGCUGAAUACGUCCCUGCCCUUUGUACACACCGCCCGUCGCUCCUACCGAUUGGACGAUCCGGUGAAUUGCUUGGAACAGCCACGGAGUCAAUUUUGAAUCUGUGGAGGUGAAAAGUUGUAAACCUUAUCGUUUAGAGGAAGGAGAAGUCGUAACA
Molecule: ribosomal RNA, 319 nt
Filed under: uncultured eukaryote
Lineage: Eukaryota
Description: partial 18S ribosomal RNA
Rfam family: Eukaryotic small subunit ribosomal RNA
Source: RNAcentral